AUUGAACGCUGGCGGCAUGCCUUACACAUGCAAGUCGAACGGCAGCACGGGAGCAAUCCUGGUGGCGAGUGGCGAACGGGUGAGUAAAGUAUCGGAACGUGCCCAGUCGUGGGGGAUAACGUAGCGAAAGUUACGCUAAUACCGCAUACGAUCUACGAAUGAAAGCGGGGGAUCGCAAGACCUCGCGCGAUUGGAGCGGCCGAUAUCAGAUUAGGUAGUUGGUGGGGUAAAGGCUCACCAAGCCGACGAUCUGUAGCUGGUCUGAGAGGACGACCAGCCACACUGGGACGGAGACACGGCCCAGACUCCUACGGGAGGCAGCAGUGGGGAAUUUUGGACAAUGGGCGAAAGCCUGAUCCAGCAAUGCCGCGUGCAGGAUGAAGGCCUUCGGGUUGUAAACUGCUUUUGUACGGAACGAAAAGGUUUGGCCUAAUAAGCUGAGCUCAUGACGGUACCGUAAGAAUAAGCACCGGCUAACUACGUGCCAGCCGCCGCCGUAA
This 500-nucleotide ribosomal RNA is filed under the name uncultured bacterium. RNAcentral describes it as "partial 16S ribosomal RNA". It matches the Rfam family "Bacterial small subunit ribosomal RNA", at positions 30 to 523 of the family's 1533-position model. The record is from RNAcentral.